Non-coding RNA from Oncorhynchus mykiss (rainbow trout), 772 nucleotides. The record is from RefSeq and is a predicted model, not a curated record. NCBI's taxonomy places the organism in Eukaryota, Metazoa, Chordata, Actinopteri, Salmoniformes, Salmonidae.
UAUAACUGAGUGAUAUGAAUCUCUUAUGUCCAGUACCUGAUCAUCAGGUAUAUCAACCAGACCACAGGACUAAUGUCUCCUGUUACAGACUCUCUUAUGUCCAGUACCUGAUCAUCAGGUAUAUCAACCAGACCACAGGACUAAUGUCUCCUGUUACAGACUCUCUUAUGUCCAGUACCUGAUAAUCAGGUAUAUCAACCAGACCACAGGACUAAUGUCUCCUGUUACAGACUCUCUUAUGUCCAGUACCUGAUCAUCAGGUAUAUCAACCAGACCACAGGACUAAUGUAUCCUGGUAGUAUCUGUUAUAGACUCUCUUAUGUCCAGUACCUGAUCAUCAGGUAUAUCAACCAGACCACAGGACUAAUGUCUCCUGUUACAGACUCUCUUAUGUCCAGUACCUGAUCAUCAGGUAAAUCAACCAGACCACAGGACUAAUGUCUCCUGUUACAGACUCUCUUAUGUCCAGUACCUGAUCACCAGGUAUAUCAACCAGACCACAGGACUAAUGUCUCCUGUUACAGACUCUCUUAUGUCCAGUACCUGAUCAUCAGGUAUAUCAACCAGACCACAGGACUAAUGUCUCCUGUUAUAGACUCUCUUAUGUCCAGUACCUGAUCACCAGGUAUAUCAACCAGACCACAGGACUAAUGUCUCCUGUUACAGACUCUCUUAUGUCCAGUACCUGAUCACCAGGUAUAUCAACCAGACCACAGGACUAAUGUCUCCUGUUACAGACUCUCUUAUGUCCAGUACCUGAUCACCAGGUAUA